UGCCUGAAACAUAAUAAUAAUUUGUAAUAUUUUUCGUCUUCUUGAACAAACUCCUCGGAUGUAAAAAAGUACGUUUUAAUUAAAACACUGCGGUAUGGAUUACGUACAGCCAAGAGCCAUUAGAUUUCAAAUGUGCCACUCCGUUUAUAAUAUCAUUUAUACGGCCGGGAUCUGCAUAAAGUACGUUUUUUUACUCGAACGAGAAUCGUGUUAACGGUUAUUGUUGUUGU
This is a non-coding RNA of Cinara cedri, 230 nucleotides long. The record is from the annotation of a GenBank genome assembly. NCBI's taxonomy places the organism in Eukaryota, Metazoa, Arthropoda, Insecta, Hemiptera, Aphididae.